This 253-nucleotide ribosomal RNA is filed under the name uncultured bacterium. RNAcentral describes it as "partial 16S ribosomal RNA". It matches the Rfam family "Bacterial small subunit ribosomal RNA", at positions 524 to 776 of the family's 1533-position model. The record is from RNAcentral.
UACGUAGGGAGCGAGCGUUGCCCGGAAUCAUUGGGCGUAAAGAGCGCGUAGGUGGAUCAAUAAGUCUGCUGUGAAAGUCAAAGGCUCAACCUUUGAAAGCCGGUGGAUACUGUUGAUCUAGAGUACGGAAGAGGCGAGUGGAAUUCCUGGUGUAGCGGUGGAAUGCGCAGAUAUCAGGAGGAACACCAAUAGCGAAGGCAGCUCGCUGGGACGUUACUGACACUGAGGCGCGAAAGCGUGGGGAGCAAACAGG